UCAGAUUGCCCAUGUACUUUUACGCCACUUAAUACACUGAAAGUACAUCUUUCAGAAAUCCAUCUGUGGCAGCGGGGGCGUGUCGGUUUGUAAAUAGAGGGCGGGGCCGGGUGCAGGUAGGCAGGGGAUUGCCUCACCUGAAGCUGGUUUUGAUCUAACGACUGUUCUCUCUUUCCAGUGAUUGGAAGGUGCAUAUAAGGAGGAGAGAGCAGGGGUGUGUGUGCGCUUGUGCGCCAGAGACGUGCUGCGUGGGCAACAAGCAGACAGACACUAUAUUAAACAGCGGAAAUAAAUAAAAGCGGCGGUGAAGCCUUUUGCACCUGACCUCUCCCACACCAUCCCCCACAAAGAAGUGUGUUAUCAGGGAGGUCUAGUAAUGGUGUAGUAUGUUACAAAUGCCAUGUUUGUGAUUUAGUGGAGCUAUGCAGUGACUAAUUAUGUCUAAUAAUGUGACUGUAGUGAUGUUGCUGUCAGGGGAAAAAGAGGUGCAACAGACAACAUGCAGAAGAAAGGCAUUAAAAAACCUAGAUGGUUUUAAUUAAAUUUCUUAAAGCUAGUUUUUUUCUUUAGAAACAAAUCUUGUUUUACUUUUUCUGCUAGAAAAAGGCCAGUUGAUGCCACAUUUCUCUCUAUUAUUGAUUAUGGUGAUCUGUUUUAUAUAAAUGCCCCAUCAAAGUGUCUUCAGAUGUUGGAUGCUGUGUUUCAUGGAGCUUUAAGGUUCAUAUUAAGGUCACUGAUACCUGCGACUGAGACAUUUGAGAUUGCAGCUCCUUGGUGAUUCCAGCAGACCUCUUCAGACUCUUGGAUAAAGACCCCAGCAGAUACUCAUACAGAGAAAUUCAUCGUUUCUGUUGUACAUUUUUAUUGCAUUUCAUUACUUAGGGUUUAAUUAUAUUUACAGUAGUCUAGAUUAGUGAGUUUAGAUUUUUCUGUAGGUAAGUUUUAGAAUAGUUCUUUAGAUUAGAUUAGUGUAGGUUAGGUUUUUUAUAUAUUGUAGGUCAUAUUACCAGCAGAUUGUUUCCGUUGUUGUGACUAAUUGUUUCCUUUGAGCUGUUUAGAAUUUUUUUCAGGUUUCAUCCACUUACACCAGAAAGCAAAUUUUGAAGUAUGUGUCUUAACUGAUCAAAUAACAUAAGUGAUCAAUAAUA
Long non-coding RNA from Silurus meridionalis, 1148 nucleotides. RefSeq lists it as uncharacterized. The record is from RefSeq and is a predicted model, not a curated record. NCBI's taxonomy places the organism in Eukaryota, Metazoa, Chordata, Actinopteri, Siluriformes, Siluridae. The transcript is spliced from 4 exons.